RNAcentral lists this transfer RNA (65 nucleotides) under Tropiocolotes tripolitanus. RNAcentral's name for it is "tRNA-Ala". The record is from RNAcentral. Lineage: Eukaryota; Metazoa; Chordata; Lepidosauria; Squamata; Gekkonidae.
GAGGCCUUAGCUUAAUGAAAGUGUCUGAGUUGCAGUCAGAGGAUGUAGCGGGAGUUACAGGUCUU